AAAAUACAGCUCGGAGUUGAUGAAAAGAAUAAUCAUAUGACAAAAUACGGACCAAAAUACGGUCUGUAUACACUGGUAUACGUCAGUGUAUACAGAAACUUGGAAGGAGAAAUAGGCCCAAAAUCCUUAAAAAGUUUGUUUUGUCCAGCAGGUCUUGUAGCAGACAAUGGGCUCAAAGGACCAAAUUUGAUACCUCUAUCUUUCUCUUUAUUUUUGUAG
RNAcentral lists this unclassified non-coding RNA (219 nucleotides) under Hevea brasiliensis (rubber tree). The record is from RNAcentral. Lineage: Eukaryota; Viridiplantae; Streptophyta; Magnoliopsida; Malpighiales; Euphorbiaceae.